GACGAACGCUGGCGGCGUGCUUAACACAUGCAAGUCGAACGGAAAGGCCCUGCUUUUGUGGGGUGCUCGAGUGGCGAACGGGUGAGUAACACGUGAGUAACCUGCCCUUGACUUUGGGAUAACUUCAGGAAACUGGGGCUAAUACCGUAUAGGAGCUCCUGCUGCAUGGUGGGCGUUGGAAAGUUUCGGCGGUUGGGGAUGGACUCGCGGCUUAUGAGCUUGUUGGUGGGGUAGUGGCUUACCAAGGCUUUGACGGGUAGCCGGCCUGAGAGGGUGAACGGGGACAAUGGGACUAAGAGACGGAGCAGACGGGUACGGGAGGCAGCAGGGGGGAAUAUUGCACAGUGGGAGGAAGUCUGAGGCAGAGACGCCGCGUGCGGGAUGACGGCCUUCGGGGUGUGAAACGCUGUAGCCUGAGACGAAGCGGGAGUGACGGUAAUGGGUGAAGAAGCACCGGCUAACUACGUG
This 468-nucleotide ribosomal RNA is filed under the name uncultured bacterium. Its description in RNAcentral is "partial 16S ribosomal RNA". It matches the Rfam family "Bacterial small subunit ribosomal RNA", at positions 28 to 507 of the family's 1533-position model. The record is from RNAcentral.